Molecule: ribosomal RNA, 482 nt
Filed under: uncultured bacterium
Lineage: Bacteria
Description: bacterial SSU rRNA
Rfam family: Bacterial small subunit ribosomal RNA
Source: RNAcentral
GAUGAACGCUAGCGGCAGGCUUAACACAUGCAAGUCGAGGGGCAGCACGGGUAGCAAUACCUGGUGGCGACCGGCGCAAGGGUGCGUAACGCGUGAGCAACAUGCCCUAUACAGGGGGAUAAUCCAGGGAAACUUGGUCUAAUAUCCCAUAGCAUUUAGAGGAGGCAUCUUCACUAAAUUAAAGCUUCGGUGGUAUAGGAUUGGCUCGCGUGACAUUAGCUAGAUGGUGAGGUAACGGCCCACCAUGGCUAUGAUGUCUAGGGGUUCUGAGAGGAAGACCCCCCACACUGGGACUGAGACACGGCCCAGACUCCUACGGGAGGCAGCAGUGAGGAAUAUUGGACAAUGGAUGGAAAUCUGAUCCAGCCAUGCCGCGUGCAGGAAGACGGCCCUAUGGGUUGUAAACUGCUUUUAUAUGGGAGCAAUAAGGUUUACGAGUAGACCGAUGAGAGUACCAUAUGAAUAAGCAUCGGCUAACUCCG